CAGGGUGUGUGACAGGUUGACCAGAGGGGCAAGCACUCUGUUCACCCUAUGGGCCACCUAGUCACCAACCCUC
MicroRNA precursor from Vicugna pacos (alpaca), 73 nucleotides. NCBI's taxonomy places the organism in Eukaryota, Metazoa, Chordata, Mammalia, Artiodactyla, Camelidae. The record is from Ensembl.